AGGACGAACGCUGGCGGCGUGCCUAACACAUGCAAGUCGAACGCGCUCCAUUCGGUAGCAAUACUGAUGAAGAGCGAGUGGCGAACGGGUGAGUAGCACGUGAGCAACCUGCCCCGAAGACUGGGACAACACCGGGAAACCGGUGCUAAUACCGGAUACCCCCACCGGAUCGCAUGAUCUGGUGAGGAAAUGUUUUUCGCUUCGGGAGGGGCUCGCGGCCUAUCAGCUAGUUGGUGGGGUAAUGGCCUACCAAGGCAUCGACGGGUAGCUGGUCUGAGAGGACGAUCAGCCACACUGGGACUGAGACACGGCCCAGACUCCUACGGGAGGCAGCAGUGGGGAAUCUUGCGCAAUGGGCGAAAGCCUGACGCAGCAACGCCGCGUGGAGGACGAAGGCUUUCUGAGUUGUAAACUCCUUUCAGCAGGGACGAUAGUGACGGUACCUGCAGAAGAAGCACCGGCCAACUACGCGCCAGCAGCCG
This 482-nucleotide ribosomal RNA is filed under the name uncultured bacterium. RNAcentral describes it as "SSU rRNA". It matches the Rfam family "Bacterial small subunit ribosomal RNA", at positions 26 to 517 of the family's 1533-position model. The record is from RNAcentral.